AAGUCGUAACAAGGUUUCCGUAGGUGAACCUGCGGAAGGAUCAUUACUGAAGUGAGUCUUCAUUCAUUGAAGCUUCUUCCCAUUGUGCUGGCUUUGACCGUAUGUUAUGUUGGGGAUUAAACAUGGUUAAGAAGAAUUUUUAAUUUUUCUUGGCCGUCCCCAACAAUUAUCUUAUCCUUUAUUAAAUUGAACUGAACUCAUUUUGAGAUUACAUAAAAAAAUAAUCUUAUAAUACAA
This 237-nucleotide unclassified non-coding RNA is filed under the name plant metagenome. RNAcentral's name for it is "partial contains small subunit ribosomal RNA and internal transcribed spacer 1". The stretch from base 1 to 46 matches the Rfam family "Eukaryotic small subunit ribosomal RNA", at positions 1786 to 1831 of the family's 1831-position model. The record is from RNAcentral.